This is an RNA transcript of Apis mellifera (honey bee), 2399 nucleotides long. It is a transcript of the gene named transmembrane protein 145, with no coding region annotated. Lineage: Eukaryota; Metazoa; Arthropoda; Insecta; Hymenoptera; Apidae. The record is from RefSeq and is a predicted model, not a curated record. The transcript has 6 exons.
UUAUUUUUUUUUUUUUUCAUUUUUAUAAUUUAGUUUGAAAACAAAUUUUAAGAAAAUAAAAAUUUACAGGAUAUAUAAUGCAUUAUCUAAGUAUUCUGUGCAAGCGCGCGAAAAUUUAUGAGAACUGAGUGGUAAUGGUAAUAGUAGUGACAAAACGUUUUGUAGCGGUUGGUCUCUUUGGGUGGGGAAAAUCAAUAGGAAAACCAAGUUUAAAUUAUAAGUAUAGAUCAUUAAUAUUUAAUGAAUCUUAUAUUAAUAUUUUUUUAAUAUUGUAUUAUAUAUGCGAAUGUGCCUGUUUGUGAAAUCUUUACAAUGAUGCUUUCAAAAUGUGGCGUCUCGUGAUGUGUAUGGAAAUUUGAUUGAAUGUAGUGUGUACUCAGUUAUCAUUAACAGCUGUGUUCAAUAAAAGGAAAAUGUUUAGAAACUAUUUAAUUGAUGCUUCUUGACAUCUAAUUUGAAGAACGAAAUAUCAAUUUACGCUUAAUAAUGUUGAUACUUCGAGAAAUUUUCUUGACUUAUUUCAUAUUGUGUACAUUAUUACAAAUUAAUUAUGUUAAAAGUACACAUAUUUCCGGUACUUUUAAUACAAAAGAAUUUUUUCGUUUUCUCAUAAAAUUUGGUUUUCAAAAGACUGAUCGUCAUCGACAAAAAGAUUCAUAUGGAUACAUUUUUGGUAAUAUAACAUCAAAAAGUGAUUUUACUAUACCAAUUACAUUGGCAGUUUUGGAUCGUGGUCAUUUUUUAGAAUAUUAUGGUAAUCGUACAUUAAAGGAUAAAAACACUGCUUGUACUCUUAUGUUUAAUACCUUAAAUCAAAGUUCUUAUGAUGUACAUUGUAAUGAAGAAGGACAAGAUUUUUUGAGGAGAGUACCUUGUCCAAGAAAUAAACUAUGUCCAGAUGAAGAUUCCAUAUGGAAUAUUGUAAAAGGAUACCAAUUCACAUAUGUCAUACAGGAUUUUUGGCAACCACGUUUUUGGUAUAUGAGUCUAGUAGCUUGUUAUAGAAAUACAUCUACUUGUCAAUGGGAAUAUUAUGAUAAACAUGAUGAAUUAGAAUAUGAUAUUUGGCUAGUAAAUGGAAAUCCAAAUACUAGUGGCCUAAAUAGUUUAACAUACCAAUUUUCGUAUGAUAGACAAAAUACCAUAGAAUUAUAUUUGUUGUUUUUUAUGUGUUACAUUAUAUUGGUACCAUUACAAUUAUAUGCUGUAAGAUUACAAAAACAUCCUGUAACAAGAUUAUUCACUGCUAGUUUAUUAUUAGAGUUUGUAGCAGUAUGUUUGAUUUUGAUACAUGUAUUGAAAUUUGCUCUUGAUGGAGUUGGAUAUGAACAAUUAGAAGUUGCUGGAGAUAUUUUUGAUAUUCUAUCAAGAACAUCAUUCAUGUUACUUCUUCUUCUACUUGCUAAAGGAUGGGCUGUAACUAGAAUGGAAUUGACAUGGAAGCCAUUAGUUUUUACUAUAUGGCUUUGUUAUGGAGUAGUUCAUAUUCUAUUAUAUGUAUGGAAUAUGACUGAAGUUGAUAUUAUUGAAGAUAUUGAUGAAUAUCAAACAUGGCCAGGCUGGUUUAUACUUCUGUUUCGCAGUGCAAUAAUGAUUUGGUUUUUAUGUGAACUUAGAAAUACUAUGACAUAUGAACAUAAUACUCAGAAGUUAAAUUUUUUACUUCAUUUUGGUGCAUCUUCAUUAGUUUGGUUUAUUUAUUUACCUAUUAUAGCACUUAUUGCUCUUCAAGUAAGCGCAUUGUGGAGGUUUAAACUUUUAUUGGGUAUUACAUAUUCUGCUGAUUGUUUUGCAUAUUGCGUAAUGGCACAUUUACUUUGGCCAACACGAAGUGAACAAUAUUUUUUACUUGCACAAGGAGCUGAUAAUGGAGAUGAACUUGAUGAAUUCAAUGAAGCACCACAUGUACUGAAUAAUUAUGUGGAACCUCCAGAACUUACUAAAAUAAUUACUUAAUGUCAAAAUAUCAAAGGCAAAAUUUUGCAUAAAAAGUCAAACAUAAAGUUUGAAAUAUAUUGUUUGCCAAAUAAAAAUUUUAUAGGGUUGAUAAUACUCUGCUAUGCAUUACUUGAGACUGAUAUAUUCUGCACACUGUGUAAUUAGAGAUAUACUAAUAAUCAAAUUUACAUUUGUGAUAGGAAGUCAAUAAUUGACACAAUAAGGAAUAAAAUGGAAUGUACAAAUCUUUAUGCUAUUUUUGAAGUAUUGCUAAAAGUUUAUAGAUUAAUGUAUGUGAAUCAGCUUUGAAAACACUUAAUAUUCUUAUAUACUGGAAAAGUUUUAAAAAUAAAAGGCAAAUGUGAAAAUUGAUCAACUUAAAUCUGCAUGCAAGAUUAUAUAUUGUUAUUAUUAUGAAGAAGGUAACUAAAAAUAACUAAAUAUAUUAAUAACAUAUUAAU